This 117-nucleotide ribosomal RNA is filed under the name Pteropus alecto (black flying fox). The record is from RNAcentral. Lineage: Eukaryota; Metazoa; Chordata; Mammalia; Chiroptera; Pteropodidae.
GUCUACGGCCACGCUACCCUGAAAAAGCCCGAUCCGUCCGAUCUCGGAAGCUAAGCAGGGUCGGGCCCGUUAGUAUUUGGAUGGGAGACCACCUAGGAAGACCAGGUGCUGUAGGCG